Long non-coding RNA from Oncorhynchus gorbuscha (pink salmon), 3988 nucleotides. RefSeq lists it as uncharacterized. The transcript has 4 exons. The record is from RefSeq and is a predicted model, not a curated record. NCBI's taxonomy places the organism in Eukaryota, Metazoa, Chordata, Actinopteri, Salmoniformes, Salmonidae.
CCUCGCCUACGGCCUGGGUGGACCAGGACGGAGAAACAAACACACAGAAUCAGUAGAACACGCCUGACUCUCCUCCACCAGUCAUACAAGGAUAAUGGUCUAAUGCCUCCCAUCAAAAAGAGAGCUGGCAAAAGCAAACACAGGUUUAACCUGAAGUAUGAAGACUUGCAGCGAGUAGUGAACUAAGUCAACAACUACUCCGAGGAUAAUGUAUUACCAGAACGCCACCCAGGCCACAAACACUUUGGUGGAUUGCAGCUGCCAUCCCAAGUGACAAAACAGCAGUGAGGUGUCUCUACAAGGAAUCGAUGACAACAAUUGAACCUGUUAAGUCAGCCAAGCUGAAGAAGCAAGAGCAGCAUCUCCUGUUUGUUCAGAGUGAGCAGUCUUUCUAAGAGAAGAUGGUUGCUGACUGUAAGACCACCUGUCAAGACCUGCAUUUGUCUCUGGGGACCCCUACUAAACCAGCAAGCAAAGACAUUAGGAUGCAUUACAGCUUUGAUUUUGCUCAACAAGUAAGCAACAUUUCAUCCUGUAUACUGAUUAAGGACAUACACGGAUAGAUAGAGCAUACACCAAAAUAUAUAUUUUUUAUACAUAUAUAUACAUCUAUAUAUUUAUAUUUUUGGCAACUUUUACUUCACUACAUUCCCAAAAGAAAAUAAUGGACUUUUUACUCCAUACAUUUUCCCUGACGCCCAUUUUGACGGGAAAAUUCUCCAAUUCACACACGUAUCAAGAGAACAUCCCAGGUCAUCCCUACUGCACUUGAUCUGGCGGACUCACUAAACACAUGCUUCGUUUGUAAAUUAUGUCUGAGUGCUGGAGUGUGCCCCUGGCUAUCCGCCAAUAAAAAUAAAGUAGUACAAUUGGGCCGUCUGGUUUAAUUUGAAAUGAUUUAUACUUUUGAUACUUAGGUACAUUUUAGCAAUUCCAUUUACUGUUUACAUUUAAGUAUAUUUAAAAUCAAAUACUUUAAGUCAAGUAGUAUUUUACUGGCCUACUUUUACUUGAGUCAUUUUCGAUUAAGUUACUUUUACUCUGUGACAAUUGUAGUACUUUUUCCACCACUGGAUGUGGCUGGGGGUUAUAGCAUUUCUUUCACAUGACCCAUCAAUUUAGACAAGUGUGUCUGGGUAAGUGUCAUCUAAUAUUUAUAAAAUAUUUGUAUAAAUGUAUUUUGUUUGCUAUUUACCUGGACUUUUUCCUUGUUCUAGACUACUACCACUUUUAGUCUAUCUUUACUACACUACUCACUGUUAGACCUCACCUGUGAAUCCUUAAAGAGAUGGGUGGGGCUGGCUUAAGAGGGUGUGAAAAAAUGCUGAAUGGGUGUAAAGGAGAGCUCUCCAGUAGGUACCAAACCAUUCAAGGCCCUUUUCUCAAAAGUGACUGAGGCCCAUAUGAGGGAGGAAGUACAGCCACGAACACCAGAGUCUGAAGGGAAACAUAAACAGUUCAACAACGGAUUUAGUAUAGGAAAGGGAAGUAGGAUGGAGGAUACGUGCUGGGAACCAAAAGGGCCGUGUUGUGAAUGGUUCAGUACCCCCCAGAAGACUGGACAAGAUAGACAGAUGGAGAUUUCCCUGCGGAUGGGACACUGAGCACAGAAAAACUGGUAUCUGUAAGAGGGGACUGCGGCCGCAGGGACUGCGGUUGAAAAUUAGCCGGCUGGCUAAAACCGGCACUUUUACUGAAACGUUGAUUAAUGUGCACUGUCCCUGUAAAAAUAAAAUAAACUAAACUAAAAAAACUUGAAGAGAAAGAUUAAAGAAAAAGAGGAAGCCUGGCUGGCCUUUCUCUGAGGGGAACCCUUUGUAUCCGCCACUGCCAAAUCCUCCACCAGCAGAUGGAGAUGGUGGCCUUCCACCCCCUCAUAACCCACGGGGGUGGGCCUGUGCCCGGUGGAGGACCAUGGUAUCAGGAGCUGUUGGAGGAGCUGCAGAAGGAGCUGGAGCUGAAGACAGAAAGCAACCAGCCAAGACAAGAACCAUAGAAAAUGAGCAAAGAGAAGAAGAGGCAGAUGAAGAGGUAGAGGAUGAGGGGCCCCUUCUGGAACUGACAGAGGGGGAGACUGGAGCUGCUACAACUGUGGGCAGUUAGGGCAUUUCUCUAGACACUGUCCUAGAGCUGGAGAAGGCAAAGGAGAGUGGCCGUCCCCACCUGUUGGCAUGCAUGUGGAUAACCCAUUUGAAAGAGGUGGACGAAGGGACUACUAAAUAUAGGAUGAGGCAGAAACAGAAGAAAAUUAAGAACCAGGAGAAACCUGUCAAACCUAUUGACAUUUUAGUUGGUAAACAUAGAAUUCCAUUUUUGGUUGGCACUGGGGCCACAGUUUCAGUGUUGAAAAUAUCUUCCCUGUCUGCCCCCCCCCCCCCCCCCCCCUUAAAGAAAACAAUGCACACAGUAUGAGCAUAUGAAAUUCCCUGAAGGAUUGUCAUUGGGAUCGAGAGAAAAUUGAAUAUUUCUGUUACUAUGUUUGCCACCGGAAUGAUCAACAUGUUGAGGGAGAGCUGAGAGAGCAGUCCCUCUCUUCCCCGUUGCAUGCUAACUGAGAAGUGUCUGAACACCUGCAUUGUACUGCUGCUGUUCCCUCAUGCGAAGAGGAACCAACAGAGAUGGCCAAAACAAAAAGAGAAAGUUGAGAUGACCAUGAAUGGGAUAUACAGAGGAGAAGACUUCGUAGCAGCUGGAGUGCUGCUGACGGAAACUAAGACUAGUCUGUUUGAAGCCCCUGGCUCUGUUCCCCAUUGUAGUUUAUCAAAAGCUUCUGACACGCAAUGGAAAGAUGUGGGUGUUUGGAUGAAGAAAUUAAUAGAAGUAACUGACAUUUACUCCUGAGGGACUGACCUGUUGCAACAUCUACAACCACUGUGAUUAUUAUUUGAUUCUGCUGGUCCUCUACGAACGUUUAAACAUCUUGAAAAACAAUCUGGCCUUAAUUUCCAUGCACUCUUAUAAUCUCCACUCAUCACAGCCAGAAGAGAGAUGGCCACCCCUCAAAGCCUGGUUCCUUUCUAGGUUUCUUCCUAGGUUCCUGCCUUUCUAGGGAGUUUUUCCUAGUCACCAUGCUGUUUGGGGUUAUAGACAGGUUUCUUUACAGCACUUUGUGACAUCUGCUGAUGUAAAAAGGACUUUAUCAAUGCAUUUGAUUGAUUGAUUGAUUGGGUGGCCUGGAAGUGGUCAACUUCCAACAGCAACUUUCCAUUCCCCAUACUGGGCUACUGCAAUGACAAUACCAUGAAAAUAAACAAUUGAAACCAUGCCUGUAGUGUUACAAGAUAAUUCACACAUUGAUUGGCUAAAAGAUGUACCUGAAGAACUGUGGGCUAAAUCAAAGACCGACAUUGGACACAUGAAAGAAGCUGUGCCAGUUGUGGUUAGGGCUGUUAACGCCAGAUUAACGCCAUACCAGCAGUAAAUCAUGACCUCUGUAAAAUUCCAUGUGACCGUUGAUUCACCGUAACUCGGCUUAACAGCCAUCAAGUCAACCAAUGGCCUGGUACUCAGGGCUCUAUUGUCCUUCUAAUCACUCUGACGUCAAUGCAAAUGCAGUUGAAAAUCAAACACUUCAUGAUUGAAUUUUAAUAAUCUGCAGAGAUAGCAAUAGCAUAGACAAACAUUUUUGAAAAAUCUGGUGUAUUGACUUACCUUGAUUUAACCAUGGCUUCCCAUAUGGACAGAAAAGAGCAGAAGAUCUGAGCAGUCCCAUCAGGCCCAGUUUGUCAAUAACAGGUGGAAACUGAUUCUAAAAAACUGUCAUAGAUAUUGUUUCAAAACCAAACACAAGUGCAGCCAUUUGGGCACAUUUUGAAUUCAAGUCAACUGUGAAAGGUCAGAUAAUAAACCUGGAUGAAGCCAUUUGCCGAAUAUGUGAGAGGAAAAUAUUUGUUAACUUCCGGGUUGGAGCGAGCGGUCGCAUCCACACUUCGGUCCGCAGGUAGUAUAACUUUUUCAUUACAUUUCAUUAUAGUACAACGGUUUGAUU